This 481-nucleotide ribosomal RNA is filed under the name uncultured bacterium. RNAcentral describes it as "partial 16S ribosomal RNA". It matches the Rfam family "Bacterial small subunit ribosomal RNA", at positions 28 to 507 of the family's 1533-position model. The record is from RNAcentral.
GAUGAACGCUGGCGGCGUGCUUAACACAUGCAAGUCGAACGAAGCACUUUAUUUUAUUUCCUUCGGGACUGAUUAUUUUGUGACUGAGUGGCGGACGGGUGAGUAACGCGUGGGUAACCUGCCUUGUACAGGGGGAUAACAGUUGGAAACGGCUGCUAAUACCGCAUAAGCGCACGGCAUCGCAUGAUGCAGUGUGAAAAACUCCGGUGGUAUAAGAUGGACCCGCGUUGGAUUAGCUAGUUGGUGAGGUAACGGCCCACCAAGGCGACGAUCCAUAGCCGACCUGAGAGGGUGACCGGCAACAUUGGGACUGAGACACGGCCCAAACUCCUACGGGAGGCAGCAGUGGGGAAUAUUGCACAAUGGGCGAAAGACUGAUGCAGCGACGCCGCGUGAGCGAAGAAGUAUUUCGGUAUGUAAAGCUCUAUCAGCAGGGAAGAUAAUGACGGUACCUGACUAAGAAGCACCGGCUAAAUACGUG